AUGGAUCUUUGCCAACUUCUGGGUCAGGAGUUGGCUGCGCUGGAGAUUGAGAUAGUACAGAAGGAGACAAUACAUCCAAGGAAGAGUUGCAAGAUGAACAGUUCAUGCGCAGAUGUCCUUUUUGCUGCACAUAGGUGGCAGAUGUCCAAACCAAGCUUAGUUUUUGAGUCAAAGGAUGUCUUCAAUCAGAAAGCCAGUAACAAGCACUGGAUUGAUGUGCAACCAAGAUGGAGAGACUACGAUUCACACGACAUAGAACGUUACGCAAGAGCAAAAUUUAUGGACUACACGGCAGAUAAUUUGUCCAUCUACCGUUUUUUGACUGGGGUGAUGAUUGGACUUGAUCUACUCCCUCCGUUCCAUAUUACUUGUCGCUGA
This 378-nucleotide ribosomal RNA is filed under the name Triticum aestivum (bread wheat). RNAcentral's name for it is "partial small subunit ribosomal RNA". The record is from RNAcentral. Lineage: Eukaryota; Viridiplantae; Streptophyta; Magnoliopsida; Poales; Poaceae.